AACUACUAGAUAUGAGAUAUUCAUGCAGUUGUUUCAUGCUAGGAUGAGUGAGGGCACAUCCAUACAAAACCAUGUGCUUAAAAUGAUUGACUUGAUCACAUGAUUAGGUCAAUUAGAUUUUGUUAUUGAUAGUGAGCUUAGUUAGGAUUUGAUCAUGCAAUCACUUUUUAAUUUCUUCUCUCAGUUUAUAAAUAAUUUCAUAUGAACAAAUUGAACACUAGUUUGCCAGAGCUACUCAAUAAGUUA
RNAcentral lists this long non-coding RNA (246 nucleotides) under Elaeis guineensis (African oil palm). RNAcentral's name for it is "long non-coding RNA (EGUI_LNC017131)". Lineage: Eukaryota; Viridiplantae; Streptophyta; Magnoliopsida; Arecales; Arecaceae. The record is from RNAcentral.